This 498-nucleotide ribosomal RNA is filed under the name uncultured bacterium. Its description in RNAcentral is "partial 16S ribosomal RNA". It matches the Rfam family "Bacterial small subunit ribosomal RNA", at positions 30 to 523 of the family's 1533-position model. The record is from RNAcentral.
AUUGAACGCUGGCGGCAUGCCUUACACAUGCAAGUCGAACGGUAACAGGUCUUCGGAUGCUGACGAGUGGCGAACGGGUGAGUAAUACAUCGGAACGUGCCUAGUAGUGGGGGAUAACUACUCGAAAGAGUGGCUAAUACCGCAUGAGAUCUACGGAUGAAAGCAGGGGAUCGCAAGACCUUGUGCUACUAGAGCGGCCGAUGGCAGAUUAGGUAGUUGGUGGGAUAAAAGCUUACCAAGCCGACGAUCUGUAGCUGGUCUGAGAGGACGAUGAGCCACACUGGGACUGAGAAACGGCCCAGACUCCUACGGGAGGCAGCAGUGGGGAAUUUUGGACAAUGGGCGCAAGCCUGAUCCAGCAAUGCCGCGUGCAGGAUGAAGGCCUUCGGGUUGUAAACUGCUUUUGUACGGAACGAAAAGCCCCGGGUUAAUACCCUGGGGUCAUGACGGUACCGUAAGAAUAAGCUCCGGCUAACUACGUGCCAGCCGCCGCCGCAG